UGCUACUUUGGUCGGUACAGAGGAUUGCCAAGCCGCGAGGUGGAGCAUAUCUCACAAAAGCGAUCGUAGUGCGGAUCGCAGUCUGCAACUCGAGUGCGUGAAGUCGGAAUCGCUAGUAAUCGCGAAUCAGAAUGUCGCGGUGAAUACGUUCCCGGGCCUUGUACACACCGCCCGUCACACCAUGGGAGUGGGUUGCACCAGAAGUAGCUAGUCUAACCUUCGGGGGGACGGUUACCACGGUGUGAUUCAUGACUGGGGUGAAGUCGUAACAAGGUAGCCGUAGGGGAACCUGCGGCUGGAUCACCUCCUUA
RNAcentral lists this ribosomal RNA (311 nucleotides) under Pseudomonas syringae pv. actinidiae. RNAcentral's name for it is "partial 16S ribosomal RNA". It matches the Rfam family "Bacterial small subunit ribosomal RNA", at positions 1223 to 1533 of the family's 1533-position model. The record is from RNAcentral. Lineage: Bacteria; Pseudomonadati; Pseudomonadota; Gammaproteobacteria; Pseudomonadales; Pseudomonadaceae.